This 1314-nucleotide ribosomal RNA is filed under the name Triticum aestivum (bread wheat). RNAcentral describes it as "partial small subunit ribosomal RNA". Lineage: Eukaryota; Viridiplantae; Streptophyta; Magnoliopsida; Poales; Poaceae. The record is from RNAcentral.
AUGUCUGAGAGCCAGGAAACUGAUAGGAACAUUGAAAUCUGGAAGAUUAAAAAGCUAAUCAAGGCACUGGAGUCUGCUAGAGGCAAUGGCACAAGCAUGAUCUCUCUUAUUAUGCCUCCACGUGAUCAGGUUUCUCGAGUGGCGAAGAUGUUAGGCGACGAGUAUGGUACUGCUUCAAACAUCAAGAGUAGAGUCAAUCGUCAAUCAGUUUUGGGUGCCAUCACCUCAGCUCAGCAGAGGCUGAAGCUUUACAACAGAGUUCCUCCCAAUGGUUUGGUUCUCUACACUGGAACCAUUGUUACUGAUGAUGGAAAGGAAAAGAAAGUUACUAUUGAUUUUGAGCCAUUCAAGCCUAUAAAUGUCUCACUUUACCUUUGUGAUAACAAGUUCCACACUGAGGCUUUAAAUGAGCUGUUGGAAUCUGAUGACAAGUUCGGCUUCAUUGUUAUGGAUGGUAAUGGUACACUUUUUGGCACACUAAGUGGAAAUACACGUGAAGUGCUUCACAAAUUUACUGUUGAUCUCCCAAAGAAGCAUGGUAGAGGAGGGCAGUCAGCUCUACGUUUUGCUCGUCUUCGGAUGGAAAAACGUCAUAACUAUGUCCGAAAAACUGCUGAGCUUGCUACUCAGUUUUUUAUCAAUCCAGCUACAAGUCAGCCUAAUGUUUCUGGACUGAUUCUUGCUGGUUCUGCUGAUUUCAAGACAGAGCUGAGCCAAUCUGAUAUGUUUGACCAGAGACUUCAAGCCAAGAUACUUAAUGUGGUUGAUGUUUCUUAUGGCGGCGAGAAUGGGUUCAACCAAGCUAUUGAGUUGUCAGCUGAGAUUCUAGCAAAUGUGAAGUUCAUACAGGAGAAGAAGUUAAUUGGCAAGUACUUUGAAGAGAUCAGUCAAGAUACUGGGAAGUAUGUCUUUGGUGUUGAUGACACUCUAAAGGCUCUUGAAAUGGGUGCUGUUGAGACUCUGAUAGUGUGGGAGAAUCUUGACAUCAACAGAUAUUCGCUGAAGCACAGUGUCUCUGGGGAAAUUAUUGUCAAACAUUUGAACAAGGAGCAGGAAGCGGAUCAGAGCAAUUUCCGCGAUAGUGAGACCAAUGCCGAGUUGGAAGUUCAGGAAAAAAUAUCUCUGUUGGAGUGGUUUGCUAAUGAAUACAAGAAGUUCGGCUGUGCGCUUGAGUUUGUCACUAACAAGUCACAAGAGGGAUCGCAGUUCUGCAGAGGAUUCGGUGGCAUUGGUGGUCUGCUGCGCUAUCAGCUAGAUAUGCGGUCUUUUGACGAGGUUUCAGACGAUGAAGGUUUGUAUGAAGACUCUGAUUAG